Molecule: ribosomal RNA, 253 nt
Filed under: uncultured bacterium
Lineage: Bacteria
Description: partial 16S ribosomal RNA
Rfam family: Bacterial small subunit ribosomal RNA
Source: RNAcentral
UACGUAGGGUGCAAGCGUUGUCCGGAAUUAUUGGGCGUAAAGGGCUCGUAGGCGGUCUGUUGCGUCAGGAGUGAAAACUCGGGGCUUAACCCCGAGCCUGCUUCUGAUACGGGCAGACUAGAGGUAUGCAGGGGAGAACGGAAUUCCUGGUGUAGCGGUGAAAUGCGCAGAUAUCAGGAGGAACACCGGUGGCGAAGGCGGUUCUCUGGGCAUUACCUGACGCUGAGGAGCGAAAGUGUGGGGAGCGAACAGG